Molecule: long non-coding RNA, 1611 nt
Filed under: Monodelphis domestica (gray short-tailed opossum)
Lineage: Eukaryota; Metazoa; Chordata; Mammalia; Didelphimorphia; Didelphidae
Description: lncRNA (ENSMODG00000043653.1)
Source: RNAcentral
UACUGGAUCAAAGGGUAUGCACAGUUUUGUAGCUGUACCCUUUGGGUAUAGUUCCAAAUUGUGGUAGGAAAUCUUUUUAACUUGUUUUCCCUGUAUGCUAGUAUGGAAAUUUGCUAGACUCUGUUCAAAUUCAGGCCUCCCUGCUCUUCUAUGAGACUGAGAUUGAGUAGGCUUCAAGGACUGUUGCUUCCUCCCAGAUGCCUUUGCUUUUUGACCUGAGUCCAAACUAUUGCAGCUACAGCCCUGGAAUUCACCCAAGUCAGCACCAAGCAUGGGACCUGCUCUUUUAGCAUUUCCCAAUUCUGUGUAUUGAUCUUUAGCAUUCCUGAUUCUGUGUAUUUAUCUCCAUGUACCAAUUUUUAUUGAUAUUCAAGGAGGACCAACACCUGUGGUGUGAGGGCUUGUGGAGCUCUUUUCAAGGCUGCUCUUCCAUCUUUGGCAUCCACCUGGCAUUCUCACCUGUGAUUCUAAGACACUGUAGCUUGCAUAGCUGCUACACCCCCAGCAAACCACCUGGGCAGGUUGUUCCCCCACGACUGGAAUUUACUCCUUUUGUCCUUUUGAGACUUACAAGUCCAAGGUUCUUUCAAGGCUCUGCUCAGAUGCUAUAAUCUGAAACUUUUCUCUGAAACUCCUAGUGAGUUGUUGGUGCUCUCUGUCCUCAAACUGUCUGGUGACUCUUCCACAUGGUAAGCCCUUGCCUUGUUGGUGAACCUUUUCGAGUUCGAGGGCCCAGAAGGCAAAUUCAAGCUGUCUGUGAGCCCCUAGAUUGCCAGGGAGAUGAGGGAGCUUUGGAUGGCUGGACAGAGGGGUGGGACAUGGAUCCAUGGCCCAAAAAGCUGCUUGUGCUUAGUGUAACGCUCAAAAAUGUGAGUUCUUAAAAUGGAAAGGUAGAGAGCUAGAUCAAAGAUGGCUCAAACCCAAGUGUCUGGGGGGGAUGAUGGUGCCAACUAUAAAAUGAGGACGUUGGGUCAACUGAGAGGCAAGGUUUAAGAAUCACAGAUAUAAUGCAGGACAUAAAACAGGGACAAGGCAGAAACACUUUGGAAGAGUAUGGUGAUGCCAGGUCUGGAGUCAGGAAGACCUGGGUUCAAAUAUGUCCUCAGAUACUUCCUAGCUACGUGAGCCUGGGCAAGUCCACUUAACUGAUUGCCUUGCCUCUGCCUUUCUGUCCUAGAGUUGAUACUAACACAGAUGGUAAAAGUUAAAAAAACAAAACAAAAAACUUCUCAGUUUAACUGUGGGCCUUAUUCUCCAUGUUUACAUUUGUUUUAGAAGAAGUAAACGGUCCCUGGACUAGAUUUGGCUAUGACCAGAUAUAGUCUACUCCUCUCUGCCAACCCCUGGCCCCCUAACAUAACCCCUCCAACAACCCCCACAUUAUAAAUCACUCUUCUGUUAAGUUUUACUUAAAAAAAAGAGAAAGAAAUGCCAAAGGCGAUAGUCCAAAGUGCCACUGGCUUUCUGACAAGCUCCUCCCCAUCCUCCCCAGCUCAGCCUUGCCCGGACAGUGGCUGUGCUUGUUGGCACCCAGACCCCAGGGACGGUGGGACAGGCAGCUGCCAGUGGCAGUGUAAACCACUAAAACCUGGGACCUAAGCACAACUACCC